ACUCCUACGGGACGCAGCAGUGGGGAAUAUUGCACAAUGGGGGAAACCCUGAUGCAGCAACGCCGCGUGAAGGAAGACGGUUUUCGGAUUGUAAACUUCUUUUCUUAGUGAAGAAGCAAGUGACGGUAGCUAAGGAAUAAGCAUCGGCUAACUACGUGCCAGCAGCCGCGGUAAUACGUAGGAUGCGAGCGUUAUCCGGAAUUACUGGGUGUAAAGGGAGCGCAGGCGGGACGGCAAGUUGGAUGAGAAGUACCGCAGAUUAAAUGCGGAACUGC
This 275-nucleotide ribosomal RNA is filed under the name uncultured bacterium. RNAcentral's name for it is "partial 16S ribosomal RNA". It matches the Rfam family "Bacterial small subunit ribosomal RNA", at positions 335 to 624 of the family's 1533-position model. The record is from RNAcentral.